This 2087-nucleotide small RNA is filed under the name Arabidopsis thaliana (thale cress). Its description in RNAcentral is "ATSL202080". The record is from RNAcentral. Lineage: Eukaryota; Viridiplantae; Streptophyta; Magnoliopsida; Brassicales; Brassicaceae.
ACAUUAAUACACUUUGUCUAGCUUAAUUAAAAUCAUCAUAAGUCUAUUGUGUGAACAUGAAGAGCUCAGUGGAAUUCAACCCUUAAGUGCUAACGACGAUCUCUUAUAUGAGGGAGUAAGCUUAAGACAAUUGGAGCUAUAUCAAAUUUGGCGUCGUUGCCAAAGUUCUCUUUGCUUCAUCAUUAGACUAGGUGUCGAUUUAAGUCUAAACUUUUCUUUUUCUUGUGUUUCAGGUAUCAUCAGAUUUUGUAACACGUUUCUAUGGCAGAUUUCGACGACAGUGUCGAACGAAACCAACAUGGUGUUCGAUCGACACCAUAUGCAGACCAGACCAGCUACCAUAGGCGACUUCAAUAGAGUUGAUCUUUUCUACUCCAAUCGAUCAGCGAUCCAGCUACCUCCUUUUGUAAGAGAAGACUUUGCUAUUCACCCUGCAUAUUAUAAUCUUGUUUCACGAGGAAAGUUUCGAGGUGCUUCUAAUGAAUCACCACUAGAUCAUCUAGAAGUCUUCGAAGACAUAGUGUCCUCAAUCAAAAUAGAUGGUUUUUCAAGCUGAUAAUCUUCUUUGUAAACUUGAUAGCACUGUAUUUUACUCAUUUUAGGUGUAUAUUUAUCAUCAUUUAGCUUUGCAUUUGAUCAUUGUAUCAUAUCAUUUUGCACCAUUUUAGCUUGUUUUGCAUACUUAGGCAUCUAGGAUCAUUUUGCAUUCGCAUUGCAUGUUUUGGUGUGUUUUCAGGUGCAAAAGGAGCUUAAAAGGACUCUACUCGAUCCAUUCACUCGAUCCAGGCAGCUACAGAAGAGGCAUCAUUCUACUCGACCUCUUUACUCGAUCCAAGAUGCUACAAAGGAGGCUGCAGUUUACUCGACCCUCCUACUCGAUCAAGGAAACCUCAGAUGAAGCAACAAAUUGAUCUACUCGCCCCUCCUACUCGAUCCACUACUCGAUCCAUUUACUCGACCAAGGGUGACCAUAUCUACAAGACUUGUUGAGCUAUCAAAGCGUCUUCGGAUCAUCCUCAUUCCCCACUCAACCAGACAUCUGAACAUACGGAUAGGAAAGGAUGAAGCAUCUGCUCGACUAAUUGAUCACUCGGAGCAUAGACACAAAGGCGCAGACUUUGCAGCACCCUCUUUACUCUAUCCCCAAGGUCGAGUAUUCGCCCAAACCGCCUCAAGUCUCUUGCCUUCUAGUGAAUCUAGGGUUUCAACAUUUUAGUAUAAAUAGAUCAGUUUGGGAUUUAUCCAUAGGAUCUAUGCUUUAUUUUUCAGUUUUUCUUUGUGUUUAUGAAUCUUGAAACUUUAGUUACUCUUAAUCUAUUUCGUUUUUGCAUUUGAUUGUUUAAGUAAAGUUGUUUAGCUUGUUUAGAUCUACAUUUUGGUAUGAUUUUAGUAAUUUCUGGGUUUGUGUUCUUGAUAAUGUUGCUUGAGUAGUGAUUAAGGUUUUUGAGGAUGGAUUAGAUUAGGGUAAUCUCUAGGUUAGUUAGGUGGUUAGUGUUUAGGUUUAUACCCUUCUGGAUUCGCUUGGCCCCUAUGCGGUUUUCGCUGGCUAAUGUGGAGAUUCGAUCAUAGACGUCCAGCAUCCAAAAGACGUUCAAAUGGAUGUCUGACAUACGAAUUCCAGAUAUAUGUAGCCUCGACCAAGAAAUUGGCUUAUCUACCUAUUGGCUUUGGUAGAUUGUUUCUUAACCCCUGCUCUGCAAUGUUUCAUCAACGAGAGUUGAGAUUAGGAAGUGGUAGAGUUAUGGGGGUCUCUGUCACGAGAGUGGAUUGACCCGAUUUUUGAAUCUAUCGUCAUGGGUAUCUACCUUUCGCCUAUUAGCCAUUUGAAGAACCCUAGAGUUGCCCUUAUCAAUGAAUCCAUUCUUAGAACUUCUAUUAGAGUUAUUUGUAUCCUUGUUGAUUGCACUUUUAUUUACCUGUUAUUUGCAUCCCCUAUUUGUAUCCCCUGUUUAUUGCAUUUAGGUUACUUAAUUUUGUUGCCUGUUGGUUCUACUCGACCCAGUGAUCGAGUAGGGCUCUUAAGUUCUUAUUUUUACUUGUUUGAAUCCUGACCUAGAUUGUUACUAGAAACCCACCAUCAUUAUAAU